GAUGAACGCUAGCUACAGGCUUAACACAUGCAAGUCGAGGGGCAGCAUGGUCUUAGCUUGCUAAGGCCGAUGGCGACCGGCGCACGGGUGAGUAACACGUAUCCAACCUGCCGUCUACUCUUGGACAGCCUUCUGAAAGGAAGAUUAAUACAAGAUGGCAUCAUGAGUUCACAUGUUCACAUGAUUAAAGGUAUUCCGGUAGACGAUGGGGAUGCGUUCCAUUAGAUAGUAGGCGGGGUAACGGCCCACCUAGUCUUCGAUGGAUAGGGGUUCUGAGAGGUAGGUCCCCGAAAUGGGAACUGGGACACGGACCAAACGCCUACGGGAGGCAGCAGUGAGGAAUAGUAGGCAGUGGGCGAGAGCCUGAACCAGCCAAGUAGCGUGAAAGAUGGCUGCGCUGUGGGUAGUAAACUUGUUUUAGAAUGGAAUAAAGUCGGGUAUGUAUACCCGUAUGCAUGUACUUUAUGAAUAAGGAACGGCUAACUACGUG
Molecule: ribosomal RNA, 490 nt
Filed under: uncultured bacterium
Lineage: Bacteria
Description: partial 16S ribosomal RNA
Rfam family: Bacterial small subunit ribosomal RNA
Source: RNAcentral